Molecule: ribosomal RNA, 388 nt
Filed under: uncultured bacterium
Lineage: Bacteria
Description: bacterial SSU rRNA
Rfam family: Bacterial small subunit ribosomal RNA
Source: RNAcentral
GACGAACGCUGGCGGCGUGCUUAACACAUGCAAGUCGAGCGGUAAGGCCCUUUCGGGGGUACACGAGCGGCGAACGGGUGAGUAACACGUGGGUGACCUGCCCUCAGCUCUGGGAUAAGCCUGGGAAACUGGGUCUAAUACCGGAUAUGACUCCAUGACGCAUGUUGUGGGGUGGAAAGCCUUGUGCGGCUGAGGAUGGGCCCGCGGCCUAUCAGCUUGUUGGUGGGGUGANGGCCUACCAAGGCGGCGACGGGUAGCCGGCCUGAGAGGGCGACCGGCCACACUGGGACUGAGACACGGCCCAGACUCCUACGGGAGGCAGCAGUGGGGAAUCUUGCGCAAUGGGCGAAAGCCUGACGCAGCGACGCCGCGUGAGGGAUGACGGCCU